Molecule: ribosomal RNA, 459 nt
Filed under: uncultured bacterium
Lineage: Bacteria
Description: partial 16S ribosomal RNA
Rfam family: Bacterial small subunit ribosomal RNA
Source: RNAcentral
CCUACGGGUGGCUGCAGUGAGGAAUAUUGGUCAAUGGUCGGGAGACUGAACCAGCCAAGCCGCGUGAGGGAUGAAGGUACAGAGUAUCGUAAACCUCUUUUGUCAGGGAACAAAGGCGGGGACGCGUCCCCGGAUGAGUGUACCUGAAGAAAAAGCAUCGGCUAACUCCGUGCCAGCAGCCGGGGUAAUACGGAGGAUGCGAGCGUUAUCCGGAUUUAUUGGGUUAAAGGGUUGGGCGGGAGGUCUGUUAAGUCAGGGGUCAAAGCCCGGGGCUCAACCCCGGCCCGCCGUUGAAACUGGCAGUCUCGAGUUGGAGAGAAGUAUGCGGAAUGCGCGGUGUAGCAGUGAAAUGCAUAGAUAUCGCGCAGAACUCCGAUUGCGAAGGCAGCAUGCCGGCUCCACACUGACGCUGAGGCACGAAAGCGUGGGUAUCGAAAAGGAUUAGAUACCCGAGUAGUC